GGAAGUAAAAGAUCUGUCACCCCAUUGAGUGCUAGGGUUGAUUUGACUCUGACUGACUAGGUGAGUGACCCCUCCCCUCACCGCUCCAUGUGCGUCCCUCCCAGAGCUUCGUGCACAGUUGCAGGUGAUGACCUUCUGCCAUGAGGAGGAGAGCUGGCCUUCGGCCAAAGGCUAUGCAAGUAGCUGCAUUCCCCAGCUAGCAUCUUCCCACACGCUCUAAAGGGGGUUGCUUGGUUCACACCCUCUACUAAAGUCAGAGCU
RNAcentral lists this small nuclear RNA (261 nucleotides) under Echinops telfairi (small Madagascar hedgehog). RNAcentral describes it as "7SK RNA (ENSETEG00000026922.1)". It matches the Rfam family "7SK RNA", at positions 1 to 295 of the family's 331-position model. Rfam says of the family: 7SK was discovered as an abundant small nuclear RNA in the mid-70s but a possible function has only recently been suggested. The record is from RNAcentral. Lineage: Eukaryota; Metazoa; Chordata; Mammalia; Afrosoricida; Tenrecidae.